CCCGUCUCUCUCUGCCUCCUUCUUCUCCAGGUCCUGUAUGACGUCCAGCAGGACCUUGAUGGUGUUCUGGCUGGUCUCCAGGACCCCCUCCAUGCUGUGCAGCUGGGUCUGCAGGCUCCGGAUGUCGUGCAGGGGCCCGUUGGGGCCCAUCAGUUUCUCUGCUACCCAGGUCGGAUCCAGUUUACUCCUGGCCCCCGACACCAGCCCCCCCAGGAUCUCCUGCACCUGCCUCAGGGUGUCGGCCUGGGUGGAGGUCAGGGGCCCAACCGUGGGGCCCCCUCCAGAGCCAGAGCAGCCACGUGCCCCGGACGGGCACUGGCCAGGGGGGAGAGCUUGCUGGCUGUUGGGGGUGUUGGUCCCGGAGCAGAGCAUUUUAUGGAGGGCCCCGAGCUGAGCUCCUAGCUGAGCCUGAGCCUGGCCCAGGCAGGUGGGUCUGGAGAUGGCCUUGGUGGGCGAGGAACCCUGGUCCCCCUGGUUCCCUUUCAGAGGGACCACCAAGGGUGUUUGAGCUCUGUGUUUCAGAGAGCUGGCUCGAGGACAGGGCAGGGGUGACCCUGAACUUCCUGACCUCUCCUUCUCACUCGCCCGCCUGAGCAGGGGCGCCCGGCAGGCCGAGCCUGGGGUGCAACUCACCCCCUCUUUGCGUGGGGUGUACGGGGGAGGGGGCGGGGGUGGUGGUGGAAGUAUCCUCCUCUCCCCCCUACACUCCCACUCUAUCACCCUCUUGUCCUGAGCGCUGCAGUGUUGGGCCUGAGGUGGGGGGGUGUAGGGGGGUGCAGGGCGAAACGUGGAAGCGUAGAGGGGCACAGUUUUCGUUGGAGUUGCACAAGAUGGCGCCGUUGGAAGUGUAUGGUAGGAUUUUACCAUUGGAGACGGGGAGUUGCAGCUUUUUACAAUGGGAGAGGGAGAGGAGCAGUAUUUUAUUUGAAUAUGGGCGGAGUAGGAAGGUACUGCUGGAGGUUGGGAGGAGCAGGGUGGUACGGUCUGACAUGGGGGGUUCCCAGGUGGUAUGGUCUGAAUUAAGGAGAUGUAGGGAGGGGCAGUUUGGGCUGGGGGGUGGCAUGAUGUCACAGUUGGAGGUGGAGAUAUGAGUUGAUUUAAGGAAGAGCAGGAUAGGGCAGUUUGUGUUAGGAUGGUGCAGGGGGCUAUAUUUGGAGUUGGUGUUGGGGUGGGGCAAGUUGGGGCUGUGGAGGGGGCUAGAACAGGAUUUGGUUUUGGGUCAUGGCAAUUAGGGGCUGUAUAGGGGCUAUCGUUGGAGUUGGUGGUACGGUGGGACAAUUUGGAUUUGAGGCUGUGGUUGUAGUUAUGGCGGUGCAUGUUAGUUUGGGUGGGACAGUUUCAGUUUGUGUAGCGAGAGGUGGAGGGGUUUGAGCUUUAGAUGGAAGAACAGUUUGGGGAAGCACUGAUUUUUUCGGGGGAUAUGUACAGAUGGACCGGGGUGGGGAGGCGCAAGGCAGAACCACCAGUGGUGGUGUUUCACAAUAUGGAUGGGUGGAGGUUGGCACAGUUUUAGGUACGGAAGCAUAGAGAGGCACAGUCUGAGUUUGGGGGGUGGAGGGUUCCACAGUCGAGGGAGGUGGGGAGGCGCAGUGCUGCAUGGUGGGAGGAGGCGGGGAGGCGCAGAGACUGUCAGUUUGUGUUUGGGUGGUGCAGGGCUGCACAGUUAAGGGAGGUGGGGAGGUGCAGGGCUGCACAGUCGAGGGAGUUGGGGAGGUGCAGGGCUGCACAGUCGAGGGAGGUGGGGAGGUGCAGGGCUGCACAGUCGAGGGAGGUGGGGAGGUGCAGGGCUGCACAGUUGAGGGAGGUGGGGAGUUAGGAGGGGAGACACAGGGACUGUCUGUCUGUGUGGGAGUGGUACAGUAGGACACCUCCCUUCCCGGGUCACUGAUACCACGGUUCAUGCGCCAUCUCCUCCUCACUUGGGACAGAGUUGCACUCCCCUGGCGUUUAGAUCCCUCUCUCCCACAGGUCACAGAACCGCAGUAGCAAGGCUCUGCAGUGUGCCGAAGCCAAACUGGGUGAGGGGAAGAAGAAGAGUCACGCCUGGAAGAGUCCAUGUGAUUCCCAACAGCAGGGUGGAUAGCGUUAGCCUCAGCGUUAGCCUCGCUAGUCCUGAGGCAGUGGGGUUGGUCCACCAAUCCCUGUUUAGCCUUAGACCCAGGGCCGUUUCCAUCUAUAGAUGCAGGUUCUGAAAUGUGGUUGCGGGUAGUGUAGUACUCAUUCUUUUUAUCGUCCUGUUCGUCAUCCCCAUUCACCCCCACCGAGUCCCCCACAUUUCGGUUGCGCGUGCUGACGGCCGAGGGCGCCGGAGGCUUAGGCUUGGGCUUCUUGAGGCAGGAGGAGGUCUGGAUGGCCAUGCUGGUGCACUGCCUCCGGGAGAGAGGUAGUGUGAGGGAGCAAGGCCGUGGGGGCGAUGGUGGUGCCCAGCAGCGGCGCGUGGGCCCCGGGGUGAGCGGAUGAGGGGGCGCCCGAGCCAAAAACGCUGCCACUACCUCAAUGGUGUCUGCCAUAUCUCCUCGGACAGCCCCAACCACCGAGGCCUGGUUGGAGGACACCUCGUCCCCCAUUGACCUCUCUGUUAGCCAUCCCUGCGGGGCCAUGGGGCUUAUGGGGGUGUUCUUCCGCAGGGGGUGGGGGCUGUCACGCUCAGCGGCAGUCCUCUCGGAGCCUUUGGUUCCAGGGCCAGUGGUCCCGCUGCCGCUGCCAUCCUCCAAGUCUUUGAAGCGCACCUGGUGUGUGCGGUUGCGGCGGCGCUUGAGGCGGCUCUCGAUGUCCGGCGAGUCGCGGUUGAGCAGCACGGAGCGCACGGUCAUGGCGCCAGGCGGCUUGUCGGCUGUCUUGCUGUUGGUGUAUUGGCCAAUGAGCAAGUGAUUCGGCUCUUUGCUCACCAUGUCUCCUGUGGCGUCUUGUUCUUCCCCCCGACAUCCACAGUCCCUGCAGGCCGUUUGACGUGAUAAAAUCCUCUGUCAGAGAGUAAGGAGUAAUUCUAUUCUAUCUCAAUACAAUUUGUCUGUUGACAAUUCGUUUCUUCUCUAUGACAAUGGGAUACAUGUAUUGUCACAUUUGUUGAGCUGGAGUUCCAUCACCAAGCAGAUCUGGGGAGACAGCUGUAGCUUGUUGGUUUGAGUGAUCAUGGAGGUGAUUUGAGAUAACUGUCACACUGCAGUGCCGUCCGUCCUGCCAUCCCCCUUCUGCAGCACUCCAUAGGACUGGUCCUUUCUCGUGUGUGUGUGUGUGUGUGUGUGUGUGUGUGUGUGUAUGUGUUUCUCUGGCUAUCUGACUUCCUGAGAAAUGUAACCAAAGCCAGAAGGUUUGUACUUUGCUCAGACUAUGGAUAGAGAGAACUGUAUUCUGAGCUUUAACGUCAUAAAGUAAGUCUUCAGGGUGAACCGGAGUCUCAUAGUCCACAGAACUUCAUUUACUUAUAAUUUUCGUCCACUCAGCUUCCUGAUUUCCUUAUAAAGAGCAGUUCUAUAUAGCCGCAUUAAAAGUAUAAUAACGUCAGCACAUUAAACAUGGAGCAAGUGCCAACUUAAAGUAUGCCUCAUACAAAAUCUACAUCUAAAAGAGGACAUGUUAUUUCACAUUAAAUAAGUCAGAAGACCCAGAAGAGAGAGGUGAGCGUGAGAACAGGGCACACAGUUAUGUUGCAUGACUCCUGGAUGCACUCAGCUCCAACGUACCUCUAAUAACAUCCCAGGAGAUGGAAUCGUGACAGGGGCACUGUAUCUACCAGCGAAUAGGCACAGCUCCUCUGAAUACACCUUAUCCAUCCUUCCCAUCCCCCGAAUAUACAGGCUGGCCCUUCCUGUCCGCUUAGCAUUGUCCCAGGGGGCUGGAGGAAGAAUGGAUUGGUAAGCACUGUGUGACUCCCCAUAAUGGUCUAUCUUCCUCUCUCACAUUCUCUCCUUCACUCUCUCUCUUCCAGUACCUCUUCUCAGUGACUCAUCUUCCACUCAUUGUGCAGGAUAACAGAAUAGCC
RNAcentral lists this long non-coding RNA (3982 nucleotides) under Salmo salar (Atlantic salmon). RNAcentral's name for it is "lncRNA (ENSSSAG00000082692.1, ENSSSAG00000106086.1)". Lineage: Eukaryota; Metazoa; Chordata; Actinopteri; Salmoniformes; Salmonidae. The record is from RNAcentral.